AAGUUUGAUUAUUGAAAACGUCAUGUUUUGUACCAUCAAACCAAAAUGCAUGUUUCAGAUAACACUUUGAAUCGGAAAAAACCGAGCGACCAGGACCAACAAAUUGCAAUUGACAAAAAUUACGCACUCCAUCUUUCCGGCCAAUUCGAGAUUCCAGCGACGAGGUGCUUCAAUGACCAACUAAUGACUUCGCCAUUUUGCGACAAUUGAUGUAUUCGAGGUAUGACCCGAGGUGGUUGGAGGUGGUCGGAAGUGUUUAAGGGAGGUUGCGGGGGAUCGAGGUGGAUGAGGAGAAGGACGGAAAGGAGGAGGAGGAGAUAGAUGAGGAGAAAAAAGUGGACGAGGAGGACGAGGAUAACGAGGAUUUCUGCACUUGAUCGAGGUAUAACCCGAGGUGGUUAGCCGUGGUCGUUAGAGGUGGUUGGCAGCGGUUGGAGGUGAUCGGAGGUGGACGAGGAGGAGGACGAGGAAGACGAGGAUUUGUGCUCGGUAUAACCCGAGGUAGUUCGCGGUGGUUGCGGGUGAUCGAGGUGGGCGAGGAGGAGG
This 546-nucleotide long non-coding RNA is filed under the name Neodiprion pinetum (white pine sawfly). RNAcentral describes it as "uncharacterized LOC124212194, transcript variant X4". Lineage: Eukaryota; Metazoa; Arthropoda; Insecta; Hymenoptera; Diprionidae. The record is from RNAcentral.